This is a long non-coding RNA of Neoarius graeffei (lesser salmon catfish), 298 nucleotides long. RefSeq lists it as uncharacterized. NCBI's taxonomy places the organism in Eukaryota, Metazoa, Chordata, Actinopteri, Siluriformes, Ariidae. The transcript has 2 exons. The record is from RefSeq and is a predicted model, not a curated record.
UGAACCCACGAGGCACUUGGUUCAUCAAAAACCUACAAUGGUAAACUUUUGUGCUGUGUUAGGGUGUUCUAACAAAGCUGAUGGGAAAGGUGAAAAGAAGUCUUUCUACAGAAUACCAGCUGUGAUUGAAACACAAGCAAACCAAGGAGCUUUCUGCCAGGAGACAGAGAGAGGAUUUAGCUGCUUUAUGCAGAGCGGAUCUGAAUACUUCAAGUCUAUUUUGUUACUGGUGUCUGCGCCGCAGGAGGAAUAGGCCACAAUUAUAAAUUAUAAAUAAAUCAUAAAAUGUUUCUAAGAA